This is a long non-coding RNA of Cydia fagiglandana, 1375 nucleotides long. RefSeq lists it as uncharacterized. NCBI's taxonomy places the organism in Eukaryota, Metazoa, Arthropoda, Insecta, Lepidoptera, Tortricidae. The transcript is spliced from 2 exons. The record is from RefSeq and is a predicted model, not a curated record.
UAAUAUUAUAGUUUGUAGGUGGUAACUUGUGCACAGCUCGGCUGUGCUUAUUUUUUUUAUUAUAGUUUAAUGCGUGGGUUCGAAUUGGGUGGUCGUUGCUUUCCUUUAUGCCUUUGGCGUCGAUUUUUUUAUGGGACUUCGUCUAGAAAAUAAGAGGGUGGUUUUGCGAGCUGGGGGCCAGCUCAAAAUUUUGCCGUAGUCAAAAUUUUCUUCGGGUAGGGGAGCACUGUAACAAUAAAAUUUUAACUCUGCAUUUUUUCAAUACUGUUUUGUACGUGACCCGUCUUCGUUUGAUACCCUUACCGCCAUCUAGCGAGCCCAGUCGAUAACAACAUGGUCCGGGUUGCUAGAUUAAAAAUAAUUUCGGUGCCUUCCUACAUUUUUGUUUAUUUUUUUAAUCGAAAGGGGUUUGUAAAUUAAAAUUGUCUUCAUAUAUUGUUUUUUCUUUCUAUUUAAUAUUAGUCCAAAUAAAGUAAAGAAGAAAGGUAAUGUUUUCUUUUCAAAGUCACCUAGGAUCGCACGAAUCCAGUUCGGGCUGUGGCAACUCUGCCAUUUGACUUGUCAUUAUUCUUCCUGUCAAAAUGAAGAUCGUGGACCGUUUUCUUUUGCGGUGUUUCGCCGUAUGAAAGCCGUUUAAUGGCUAUAAUACAUCCCAUCGGGAGACAUCUCCUUUUUAAUCCCGGAUUUUUAUCCUAUAUGGAAGUCGUGUGAGACGAUGGUGUGUUGGUGGAGGCCUCAUCGAGUCGACAUGCUGGUCAAUCCCGGCCACGUAUGCCGCUUCUCCUCGAUGGGUAAGUUAAUUACUUGUUUUUGAAUUCGUAAUCCUUACGCCCAUGCGGGGGUCCGCUCUUUAAAUCAUGAACCGAUUUUUCUCCUUUAUUUAGGUUCCAGCUUGUCAAAAGUCUGUGAACCCUGUCUUACUACCUGUAACUCGUUACAGGGCCUACCACUUAGUCUACAGUUUGGCUGUAAGGCAGCCCCCAGCCAGCUUGGUGUACCGGCGGUCGGGGCCUGUUCGCUAUUACUACAACUACCAUGGAUGCAGAGGCACUGCGACAUGAGUCUCCAUUAGUGUGUCGGCAGUGGUACCUUCCUUCUAAUGUCACUACUUAAAAGGUCAGAGACAACCAAUUUAUUAUAUUCUCCAAGGCGCCCAACUUACUUUAAAUAAUUUUCCUUAUUUUUUAUACCACGUACCCAGAGUGCCCAACCAUAAGAAAUGUAGCCGCCAAACCCACAUUUGCUCUCAUAUUUUUAGUUAAGUCUGUAGUAAGCUAGCCGAGGCUAUUUAAUAUAUUAUAAUGUCAUAAGUUAACAUUUGACACUUCUAAACUUAGAUAUUUGUCGUUUAGUCAAAUAAAUGUAUUAUAAGUAA